UUGGAGGGCAAGUCUGGUGCCAGCAGCCGCGGUAAUUCCAGCUCCAAUAGCGUAUAUUAAAGUUGCUGCAGUUAAAAAGCUCGUAGUUGAAUUUCGGGACCAAUAUGUCGGUCGUGCCUCGGUACGUACUGGCAUCGUUGGUUUCUCCCUUCUGACGAACCAUGAUGUCAUUCAUUUGGUGUCGUGGGGAAUCAGGACUGUUACUUUGAAAAAAUUAGAGUGUUUAAAGCAGGCUAACGCUUGAAUACAUUAGCAUGGAAUAAUGAAAUAGGACGUUCGAUCUUAUUUUGUUGGUUUCUAAGAUUGACGUAAUGAUUAAUAGGGAUAGUUGGGGGCAUUAGUAUUCAAUUGUCAGAGGUGAAAUUCUUGGAUUUAUUGAAGACUAACUACUGCGAAAGCAUUUGCCAAGGAUGUUUUCAUUAAUCAAGAACGAAAGUUAGGGGAUCGAAGACGAUCAGAUACCGUCGUAGUCUUAACCAUAAACUAUGCCGACUAGGGAUCGGAUGAUGUUAAUUUUUUAAUGACUCAUUCGGCGCCUUACGGGAAAC
RNAcentral lists this ribosomal RNA (548 nucleotides) under Glomus sp. VeGlo18. RNAcentral's name for it is "SSU rRNA". It matches the Rfam family "Eukaryotic small subunit ribosomal RNA", at positions 548 to 1098 of the family's 1831-position model. The record is from RNAcentral. Lineage: Eukaryota; Fungi; Glomeromycota; Glomeromycetes; Glomerales; Glomeraceae.